Molecule: long non-coding RNA, 203 nt
Filed under: Phascolarctos cinereus (koala)
Lineage: Eukaryota; Metazoa; Chordata; Mammalia; Diprotodontia; Phascolarctidae
Description: lncRNA (ENSPCIG00000034889.1)
Source: RNAcentral
GGGGGAACCGGCCGAACCAUCAGCCCGACGGGACGGGAGGGAGCACCCUCGGGGCGGGAAGACGAGCCCCCGGCGGCGCGUGACAGGGCGAAGCGAGGAGUGAGCUGACACUAAACUGAGCUAACCAGGCCCAUUCCUGCACAGUUGAUCUUGAGGUGCCAGGCCUUCCUGAUGAGAUGUGUCCUGCCCCAGAGGGCUCCGGG